AUGCAACAUAAUCUCCCAAUGCAAUUCCCUCAUCCUCUACCUUUGAGCUCUGGAAGUACGUCUGGAGGAAGUGGGCAAGUGGGUUCUGGAAAGAACAAAAAGAAGAACAGGACUAGUGCUAAAAAGCAAGCUAUGACUGCUGCUGGAGCUGUUGACAGUGCUACUGUUCAUACAGCCUCAGACUCUGAAGAAUAUAUGAUAGACCCUAAGUAUAUUGGUACUAUCUGCUACAACUGUGGCCUUCCUGGUCACUUUGUGGGCAUGUGCUCUGUUCCCAAAAUCUGCUUCAUCUGUAAAACCCCAGGCCACCAUAUGGACAUCUGCCCAAAGUGGUAUGAACCUUAUCCUGCAGCCCAAUAUUGGGGAAGUGCUAAUAGUGGCCUUGGUUUCUUUCAUAUUGAAGCUGGUGACAAGUGUGACAGCAGCUGGCUGAAUUUUGGCAAUGUUGGGCUGGUUGUUGUGGAAGAAGGCAAUAUCACUGCUGAAGAACUAGAAAGCUGCUUUAUUGGGAUGUGGAAAACUAACUGGCCUUGGUAG
Molecule: ribosomal RNA, 537 nt
Filed under: Triticum aestivum (bread wheat)
Lineage: Eukaryota; Viridiplantae; Streptophyta; Magnoliopsida; Poales; Poaceae
Description: partial small subunit ribosomal RNA
Source: RNAcentral